CACUCCUACGGGAGGCAGCAGUGUGGAAUAUUGGACAAUGGGCGCAAGCCUGAUCCAGCCAUGCCGCGUGAGUGAUGAAGGCCCUAGGGUUGUAAAGCUCUUUCACCGGUGAAGAUAAUGACGGUAACCGGAGAAGAAGCCCCGGCUAACUUCGUGCCAGCAGCCGCGGUAAUACGAAGGGGGCUAGCGUUGUUCGGAUUUACUGGGCGUAAAGCGCACGUAGGCGGACUAUUAAGUCAGGGGUGAAAUCCCGGGGCUCAACCCCGGAACUGCCUUUGAUACUGGUAGUCUUGAGUUCGAGAGAGGUGAGUGGAAUUCCGAGUGUAGAGGUGAAAUUCGUAGAUAUUCGGAGGAACACCAGUGGCGAAGGCGGCUCACUGGCUCGAUACUGACGCUGAGGUGCGAAAGCGUGGGGAGCAAACAGGAUUAGAAACCCUGGUAGUCCCA
This 447-nucleotide ribosomal RNA is filed under the name uncultured organism. RNAcentral's name for it is "partial 16S ribosomal RNA". It matches the Rfam family "Bacterial small subunit ribosomal RNA", at positions 334 to 797 of the family's 1533-position model. The record is from RNAcentral.